RNAcentral lists this non-coding RNA (28 nucleotides) under Mus musculus (house mouse). The record is from RNAcentral. Lineage: Eukaryota; Metazoa; Chordata; Mammalia; Rodentia; Muridae.
UGGUGACAACUUGAAUUUUUGAUUUCAU